Molecule: ribosomal RNA, 217 nt
Filed under: uncultured Chromatiales bacterium
Lineage: Bacteria; Pseudomonadati; Pseudomonadota; Gammaproteobacteria; Chromatiales
Description: partial 16S ribosomal RNA
Rfam family: Bacterial small subunit ribosomal RNA
Source: RNAcentral
GCUGGCGGCAUGCCUAACACAUGCAAGUCGAACGGUAACGCGGAGAGCUUGCUCUCUGGCGACGAGUGGCGGACGGGUGAGUAAUACUUAGGAAUCUGCCCAGUAGUGGGGGACAACUCGAGGAAACUCGAGCUAAUACCGCAUACGCCCUACGGGGGAAAGCGGGGGAUCUUCGGACCUCGCGCUAUUGGAUGAGCCUAAGUCGGAUUAGCUUGUA